UUUCCGUAGGUGAACCUGCGGAAGGAUCAUUAAAAAUGAAGCCGGGAAACCGGUCCUUCUAACCCUUGAUUAUCUUAAUUUGUUGCUUUGGUGGGCCGCGCAAGCACCGGCUUCGGCUGGAUCGCGCCCGCCAGAGGACACAACUCUGUAUCAAAUGUCGUCUGAGUACUAUAAAAUAGUUAAAACUUUCAACAACGGAUCUCUUGGUUCUG
Molecule: unclassified non-coding RNA, 212 nt
Filed under: plant metagenome
Description: partial contains small subunit ribosomal RNA, internal transcribed spacer 1, and 5.8S ribosomal RNA
Source: RNAcentral